Molecule: non-coding RNA, 840 nt
Filed under: Pan troglodytes (chimpanzee)
Lineage: Eukaryota; Metazoa; Chordata; Mammalia; Primates; Hominidae
Source: RNAcentral
GGAUAAUGCAAGUGUUUAACAGAUGCUUCACUAUUAAAAUAUUUCCCCCCCAAGUCUCAAAUAUUGAAGAAUCUCUAACCAGGCUCGAAACGCCGGUCUCAGUGGCUAUUGAGUUACCCACCAAGUUACCCCGGUUAGAGCUGUUUGGGGUGGCUCACGUUAUUGCGGCAAACUUUGGAGAUGACGGCUGAGUCCUCCGGGCGAACAUGUCAAGCCGAUUGUAAAUGCUGUUAUUUCCACAUCCUUCAGGGACACCAGUCCCUACGAAGACCUUGGGCGAUUUUGAAGUGCGGGCACCUCGAUUCCCCGAAUCUGUAGUGUGGCUGGUAUCGGUGUUCCCCUGGUUUAACUAGCCUGUUUGAAGGCACAGAUCAUUCAUGGGGAAGUAUAACCGAAACCAGUCCUCUCCACCCCCUGGGGAUCUUCACUUUCCCAGUCUACAACUGCCUGUGACUCCAGAAAGACAAACUGCAGAUUGGCCAAGUGCCUUUCAAACUGCUUUUUACUGGAUGAAGAAACUCAACCAAGAAAAUAUAUGUCAAUUCUUGUAUAUGGGACAAUAUUAGCUGCUGUGAUUUUUAAUACUAGCAUAAAAUAUAAGAAUCUUUUUAUUACUGUGAUAUUGUUUUUUCCUAAAUGAAUGCAUAGUGUAACAAUUGGUGUCAAAAAGCACUGAAUUUUUUUCAGAUGGAUUAAGCUGGAAUAAUAAAGUAUAUCUAUGAGAUGAUUUCUGUAAACUCUGACUUGCUGAGAAAAAAGUGAAAAAGCUUUUUCUGGAAGAAACAUGGCAACUUAACCAUUAUUAAUCUGGACUAAACAAAACAGGAAACUGCUUCUUUA